CGCCUUAUACUCCUACGGGAGGCAGCAGUGGGGAAUCUUGCGCAAUGGGCGAAAGCCUGACGCAGCCAUGCCGCGUGAAUGAUGAAGGUCUUAGGAUUGUAAAAUUCUUUCACCGGGGACGAUAAUGACGGUACCCGGAGAAGAAGCCCCGGCUAACUUCGUGCCAGCAGCCGCGGUAAUACGAAGGGGGCUAGCGUUGCUCGGAAUUACUGGGCGUAAAGGGAGCGUAGGCGGACAUUUAAGUCAGGGGUGAAAUCCCGGGGCUCAACCUCGGAACUGCCCUUGAUACUGGAUGUCUUGAGUGUGAGAGAGGUAUGUGGAACUCCGAGUGUAGAGGUGAAAUUCGUAGAUAUUCGGAAGAACACCAGUGGCGAAGGCGACAUACUGGCUCAUUACUGACGCUGAGGCUCGAAAGCGUGGGGAGCAAACAGGAUUAGAUACCCGUGUAGUCCACGUACCA
RNAcentral lists this ribosomal RNA (460 nucleotides) under uncultured bacterium. RNAcentral describes it as "bacterial SSU rRNA". It matches the Rfam family "Bacterial small subunit ribosomal RNA", at positions 327 to 804 of the family's 1533-position model. The record is from RNAcentral.